CCGAAGAAUAAUACACAGAAUUAGUCAUGUGCCCACACGCAUCCCUCCCAGCAUCAGUGUCAGCUUUGUCUCAGGGAAUCUUCUCAGAAACAUUUCCUACCCAGCCAAAUACAAGCCCAGCAAAUUCCUUACUCAGGGGACUUCCAGCAGAAUACAGCCUGAGCCUUGCGGAAACAAAGGAGAAAGAUCAGAGUGAACACACCAAGGCCACUCAGCUUCAUGAUGGGGACAAGAUUGGGGGUGAGCCUGGAGGCUGAAUCUAUCAUCUCUGACAGGAGCAGAGAACCAGCAGGGGGAGCAGUAGGUCCCAGGGUAAGAGGUCCAAGGGGCCUCAGCUUGACCAUGAAAUACCUGCUGUGUCCCUAAUUCCUCCUAGAAAGGGACACUGUGAAAAAACCUCUGGGGCAUAACUCCUGAGAGCACCACGUGCUGCCCUCUAUUCAGUGAGCAGGGAGAUGGCCUGGCCCUUAACCAUUCUUGCUUUACACAGAGAUUAAAUCAUGAAUAAGUAUGGGUUCAAUUCAGUCAUGUACACUCAGCUUAGACUCAAAAAUUAAGUAAUAUCUGUUGGUUAUUUGCAAACUUACAUUGCUGAAAUAAAUCCCUACCUGUUCCUAUGUAUCACCCCUUUUAUAGAUGACUAAAUUCAAUUAGCUAACAUUUUCUUUAGGAUAUUUGACUUUAUAUUUAGAGUGAAAUUGGCAUAUAGUUUCACUUUUAUGGGUUAUUGUCUCGGUUAUCUAGUGCUGCUGAGGUAGGUCUGGAGUCCUGAGGUAAAAAUAACCCUCUUGUGAACAGAAGCUGUAGAAAAUUCCAAAGCAAAGAAGAUAUUGCAUAGGCCAGACACGAAGAAACCAGUAUCUCAAACUGUGGCUAAAUUUUAAACAGUAAGCAGUCAGACUUCCCUCAACACUUCCUCUUAAGAUUGUUUUUCAGGCAAACCAGCUAAAAACAGAAUCCCGCACAGGCGCAGAAACGAUUUGGUUGACUGCUGGGUGUCCCCAUCCCAUAAUGAGUCCUGCCUAACCAAAAAAAAAAAAAAAAAAAAACCUGCUGCCGUCGAGUCCAUUCUGACUCAUAGCGACCCUAUACGACAGAGUAGAACUGCCCCACGUGGUUUCCAAGGAAUGCCUGGUGGAUUUGAACUGCCAACCUUUUGAUUAGCAGCCGUAGCUCUUAACCACUAUGCCACCAGGGUUUCUGAGUCCUGCCUAGGAACCAAGAAAUUCAUGAUGGACACGUCACCAGACAGUAGCCAGACUCAAUUCAGAAACGAGAAGUCCAACACCCACUUCUGUGCUAAGUCUAAGCCCAGUCUUUUUUAAAAAUAUGCAAGCUAUUUCCCAGAAGUUUAAUGAAUAUGUAUAACUUCCCUUUUACUAAAUAGUAUAAAACUUCUCCCAGCCCUUUGUUCUGGGAGACAGUGCUUUGAGAGUGAUAUCCCCGUCUCCUACUUGCUUUGUCUUUCAGAAGCAGCUGGAUAAAACCAGCCCCAGGGACAUAUGCAGAAUAUCCACCUGUGACCGCUGUGUGACCUUCCACCAGGGGCAGUGGGAGGCUGCAGCCACAGCUGGGGAAUCAAACUCAAGGGGCAAGAGACUGCGCAGAAGUGACACACCAUAACAAGCCCUGCUAUGAAUCCCAGAGGCCUCUGGGACAGGAGCCAUCUUAGGAAGCAGCUACAAAUGCACCUUAGUUAACCUAUCCCUUUCCAAAAUGGGCUACUUGCCUGAAAACCCUGCCUAUGCCUCUGAAUGAAGAUGAAUCUUUUUCCCACUCAAGAAUUUUUAAAAGCCCAUGCAAGUCUUUUGUUCUGUGAGACCGGCAUAAGCAUAGCUUAGACCCAACUCACCUACUCUUGCAAGCCUCUCCAAUAAAGCUUUGCUCGUGUGGAAAACUCUUUGUGCUUUACCUGCUCAUUCUUGACCAGUGAGAAGCAAGAGCCUUAUUCUGUUCCGGCAGCAACACUGAUGCUGGAAGAGCCUCAUUUGUAUACCUGACUAACUCUGUGGUAUUUUUCUUCAGGUAAGAAAUCUCAACAAUGCCCACUGCUUACUCGUAAAUGGAAAAGGAUCAAAUUCAUGAUUGCCUGACUGAUUCACGUUGCAUGACAUAAGAGAAGUGUUGUUACAACAACUGCAAAAAUCACUGUUAUUACCUUGAUUGACUUUGGAUUGAGGUGAGAGCCCCCAGGUUCUGAACUUCUUGGCUUUGCUACAGAAAUAAUUUACCCAGUUGUCUUAGAGGGAGUUGAGAACGGACAGAGCCUUUGAAAUCUUUGUGAUCAGAACUGUGAAGUUGGGGAGUACCUUGGAAUUUAUCUAAGGCACUUAAAAAAGGGAGUACUAACGGGCAGGGACUCUGAGCCCUCCCCCAAAAUCCACAAUUUAUACUUCAUGUCAUGGGCAUGACUUCUCUCCUUUGUAUAAUGGAGACAUUGGGGAAAAUGAUCCCUAAGCUCAUUAAGGGUUUUUGAAUAUUUAUGAUUAUUGUUAAUUGCCAUUUUUUAAAGCCUAUAGAUAAGCACAUGCUUAUUCACAUUUCAAUUCUGGAAUAAGAGAUUAUGAUAUCAUACAUCUUUAGAAUAACUUGCCUAGAAUCCCUGAUCCCUAGUUUCUAAGUCCUUGGCAGAACAUCUCAGUGCUCCUGGGAGGACAGUUCCUAUCAGGAACCAGGGACCCACAUCAAUGGCCCUGCAGGGUGUGUACUUUCCCAUAUCUGCUUCUCUCCUCUCUCCCCAGCUACCCCUUCUUACCCAGGUCUGAGAAGUCACUGCAGACACAGGCUCUAACUUAGUCUUGGAACCCUGGUAUCUGUUUCUUCCACACUCACUGCACACCAAGGGGUAAAAUGCCUGGGAAAAUUGUAAUAUGAAAAUCACACAACAAAGAAAUAAAGCAUUAUGCAUUUUAAAAAAUCUACCGAAUCUCUCUCUUUUUUUCCCUUUUUUAGUCAUACAUUGGGUUCUGUAAAAGGGAUGGUUCUGUUACACAUUUAGUUUUUAAUCAAUGCCUGCACCUGUGUUUUUCCAGUAUGUUCCUCACUUUCCAAGUCUCCUGAACUCAGAUUCUGCAUUGGUCAGACGGAAGUGGCCCUUUAAAGCCAUGUUUUGUGUGUUUGUAUUCUAUGAAGUAUGUCUACUUUUGCCUGAGAUGAAGGAGGAAGGCAUUUUUGCUACAGUUUCUCUGACACUCCUGCUGGUGGCCAUUCCACUUGUUAAGACUCGUAAGAUCUAGACCUAGGGUUAGGUGUUCAGGUUGGAAAUGGAGCAGGACAUAGCUACGUUCCUGGUUCUUAAAGGCCAGAAGUCAAGGCCUCAUAAAACAGAAUAAAGAGGUCCUCUCUUAGUCCAAAAAAAAAAAAAAAAAAGUGGAGUUUUUUAGCUCUUAGUCCAGCCUAGCUGCUUUGAGUCUCAGCUUGGGGUUUGGAGCCUCUGAUAUACCUGAUAAUAGGUGUUAUUUAGACUUGCGUCUCCUCACUUCAUCCUAUGUGCCUCAGUCUCCCUCAAAGACAACACAGGGAGCAGGGGUCUUAGAAAGUGAAUUUCAAAAACUGCAUUUCUCUUUGACAAUUAUGUUGUACAACAGAAAGAAACACUGCUCAGUCCUGUGCCACCCUCAUAAUUGUUGCUAUGUUUGAGCCCAUUGUUGCAGCCACUGUGUCAAUCCAUUUCAUCAAGGGUCUUCCUCUUUUUCACUGACCCUGUAGCUUACUGUCUUAGUUAUCUAGUGCUGCUAUAACAGAAACACCACAAGUGGAUGGAUGGUUUUAACAAAGAGAAGUUUAUUUUCUCACAGUAAAGUAGGCUAAAAGUCCAAUUCAGAGUGUCAGCUCUAGGUGAAGCCUUUCUCUCUCUGUCGGCCUUCUCAUCAAUCUUCUCCCAGACUCGGAGCUUCACUGCACAGGGGCGCCUGGUCCAAAGGACGUGCUCUGCUCCCAGUAUGGCUUUCUUGGUGGUAUGAGGCCCUCCCCUGACCCUGUCUCUCUGCUCGCUUCUUUCUUUUAUCUCAAGAGAUUGCCUCAAGACACAGUCCAAUCUUGUAGGCUGAGUCCUGCCUCACUAACAAAACUGCAGCCCAUCCUCAUUAACAUCAAAGAGGCAGAAUUUACAACAUAGAGGAAAAUCACACAAUACUGGGAGUCAUGGCCCAGCCAAAUUGAUACAUACAUUUUGGAGGGACAUACUUCAAUCCAUGACACUUACUAAGCAUGAUAUCCUUCUCCAGGGACUGGACCCUCCCGAUAACAAGUCCAAAGCAUGUGUGACAAAGUCCUACCACCCUUGCUUCCAAGGAACACCCUGGCUGUAUUUCUUCCAAGACAGACUUGUUCAUUCUUCUGGCAGUCCACGGUAUAUUCAAUAUUCUUUGACAGCACCAUAAUUCAAAGGCAUCAAUUCUUCUUUGAUCAUCCUUAUUCAUUGUCCAGCUUUCGCAUGCAUAUGAGGAGACUGAAAAUAUCAUGGCUUGGGUCAGGUGCAACUUAGUCCUCAAAGUGACAUCUUUGCUUUUCAACACUUUAAAGACACAUAUAUCUUAAACAAAUGUUGUAUAAAACUACUUAUCUCCUAGCAUGUUUUAAGUUCCUAUCUAAUUUUUUCAUUAUAAUUUACAUAACUUCAAGGAAUAUAAUUUUUAACCAAUGAUAAAUGUUGUCAUUUAAAUAAAAUGGGUGGCUCACUCUUUUUAAGGUUUCUAAUGGAAUAAACUCCAAACCCAAUGCUGUUGAGUCAAUUCUGACUCAUAGCAGCCCUAUGGGACAGAGUAGAACUGCCCCAUAGGGUUUCUUUCCAAUGCUGUAAAUCUUUACAGAAGCAGACUGCUGUAUCUUUCUCCUUCAGAGCAGCUGGUGAAUUCGAAUCACUGAACUUUUAGUCAGCAGCUGAGUGCUUUAACCACUGUGCCACCCAGAGGUCUCCUCUAAUGGAAUAGGUAAACCAUAUUCAUUUAAUACUAAUAUCUAUUAGGAAAAAAACAUCAGUUCUUUCUUUUCCUUAUCUUCUUCCCCUUCUCUUCCCUUCCCUUCCUUUGCCUUCAUUUCUGAACAAUUUUAUCCAAAAGCAAAUAGGUCAAAGAGUUAUUUGGGUCCUCUGAACAACAGGCGCAGAAUGAUAUAUUUAAAUGGAAAUGGUAAGAACAUUUACCUCUUAUCCUUGUCUUAUUUUCAAUCUAAGGAGGAUCUUGGGCAUGUUCGGCCUAUGAAGGAGAGAGUAUUUAUAUCUGACUCUGUUUAGAAUUGCCAGCACAGAGUGAUAAUAAAAAGCAGACUGAUUUUCAUCAGUUUCUUAUUUUUUUAAUUCUCUAUACUAAGUACACUGCCUCAUAGCCUAUAAUUGGGUGAACUGCUCCAAAUACUUGCUUUGGUACACUACUGAAGUAUACCAGUUACCAGUUGCCAUAGUCCCAGCUCUGACUCAUGUCAACCCCAUGUGUGUCAGAGUGAAUGAAACUGUAUAGAAUUUUCAAUUUCUGACUUUUCAGAAGUAGAUCACCAAGUCUUUCUUCCAAGGCACCUCUGGGUGGACUUGAACCUCCAACCUCUUGAUUAGCAGCCAAGCGCAUUAACUGUUUGCACCACCCAGGGACUCCCUUUAUAAUAUAUUAUAUAAUAAUAUAUAAUAUAUAAUAUACAAAAUUUUUUUUAGUAAUAUAUAAUAUAUAAUACUUUCAUUAUCCUUGAAUGUACUUUGAUGUUUGUUUGUGAAUCAGGAUUUCCUAUUUUUUUUUUUCCUAAGCACGUUAUGAUUGAUGAAAAAUGAGAAAGUCCUGGUGGGAAGUAGGGUGGGAGAUGGAACUAGAGACCAGGGAUCAAAGACCAGGCUUGUAGCACCAGUGUCUUCACAGGUGAUGUUAAGAAGGGGUUUCUACCCCCUGAAGAGAGAAGAGAACCAGAGAUAAGAGAGGGAACUAGGGACGUGGAAUUGGAUCCUUUGCUCAUCAUGCCCAGGGGAGCUUAUCCUUCUUGGCCGCCUCAUUGAUCAGAGGCCAUAAGCCUCCACCGCUACUAGGGAUUCUGCCCUCAGGAGUAGUGAGAUGCUGAUAUUGCCCCAUCUGUCUGGGUUCUUGAAAAUGCUCUUAGAAAAGCUUGGUUCAGAUUGUGAAAAAAGAGGUGGCAAAGCCAGGUUGAUUGGACUAAAAGGUUUUUAAUAAGGGGAAACUUACAGGGGAUAGAGGGAGGUAUGUAGACUCCCAAGGCAAAAACAGAGAAGCACUGACUAUUAACCUGAGCUAUGAUACUGGUGCGCCCUAGGAAUCUUUGUUCUAACACUUACAUACUCAAAGAGCAGGUGAAUUACAAAGUGGGAGAGGAGAGGAAUGUGAUGGGGGGGGAAGGGAGGGGAAAGUAAAAUCUGAAAACUUGGAGAGCAGUGGCCCUGAGGCACUUGCUUAGUUAAACUGAUGGCUGAAUUUGCACUUGAAAGCUGUUAAUCAGUAGUGCUAGUCCAGAAGAGAGGGAGGAAGAGAGAGGGGAGUCUGGUUAAUGUUCCUGUCAAACUGCUGACUGGGUUAUUGUCUGGUCAGCCACUCUUGCUUAAUCCCAGAGUCCUUUUCAGGCAGGAGCCAUAUUGGAUAUGACUAUAAAACCCCACAGAUGUCCUACACAGGGAUCUGGACCACUCCUGGUGAGACAUUAAGACAAAACAAACAAACAAAAAAACCCCAAACCUAUUGCCACAAAGUAGGUCAGGAUUCAUGUCUUAGAGAGCAGAACUGUGCUCUGUAGGGUUUUGUUGGCUGUAAUUCACAUACACAGCAAAAUUAUUUUUUAAAAAUCAAGGAAAUAAUUGCAGCAAAAUUCAUGAUACUUAAUUCUAAGUGGGAGGGAGAGGGUUGCGCCUGAGAAAGGGUUCGGGAGGAGUCCUGGGUUGUCGGUCAUGUUCUGUUUUUUACCUUAGGUCAUGAUUACUUAGAGUUUUAUUUUAAAACUACUUGUUAAUCUAUACACAAAAAUUUUAUACACAUUACUAAAUGUAUAUGAUAUUUUAAAAAAUUUUUAACAGCUUUAAUGAUAUUUAAAAAAAAAUUUAACCCUGUAGUGGUAUAGCUCUCGGCUGCUAACCUUAAGGUUGGCAGUUUGAACCAACCAGCCGCUCCACGGGAGAAAGAUGUGGCAGUCUGCUUCCAUAGCGUUACAGCCUUGGAAACCCUAUGGGGCAGUUCCGCUCUGUCCUAUGGGGUAACUAUGAGUUGAAUUCGACUCAACAGCAAUGAUGGGUUAUUAUAUAAUUUACAUGCCAUAAUAUUUACCUGUUUUAAAGGCAGGGGCUCAUUCUUUAUUAAGUCAUCAUAUAAUAGUAACAAGAGCUACUUCUUUUUUCUCUCAGUACUUUUUUUUAACAGUUUAUACAUGUACGAUUCUGUGGCGUUGAUUACAUUCUUCGAAUUGUGCAACCAUUCUCACCCUCUUUUUCUGAGUUAUUCCUCCCCAUUAACAUAAAUUCACUGCCCCCUAAGUUUCCUAUCUAAUCUUUUGAGUUGCUGUUAUCAAUUUGAUUUCAUAUAGAUAGAUCUUAAAAGAGCAGAAUGCUCAAGGCACACAUUCUUUACUAGUUAACUAAAUUCUUGUUUGGUUUUAAGAAGACUUCAGGGGAUAUUUUUGGUUUAAGGCUUAAAGAUUAUCCUAGGGCUAUAGUUUGGAGGACUCAUCCACCUAAUGGCUCCAGGAAAUCUGGGUUCCAUGAGAAUUUGAAGUUCUGUUCUGCAUUUUCCCCCUUUGGAUCAAAGAUUCUAUGAAGAAUCUUUGAUCAAAAUGUUCAGUAAUGAUAGCCAGGCACCAUCCAGUUUUUCUGGUCUCAUGGCAAACAAGGCAGUUGUUCACAGAGACAAUUAGCCACACAUUUCAUUUCCUCCUUCUGUUCCUGACUCCCCUUCUUCCUCCAUUGCUCCAGGCACAUAGAUACCAAUUAUUGUGCCUUGGAUGGUGAUAUUACAAAUGAAAAAAAAAAUUUAUCAUAAAAGUGGAGCCCUGGUGGCAAAACGGUUAAACACUGGGCUGCUAUUCAAAAGGUCAGCAGUUUGAACCCACCAACGGCUGUCUGCAGGAGAAAAGACCUGGUGAUCUAUUCCCAUAAAGAUUAUAGCCUAGGAAACCCUAUGAGGCAGGUCUACUCUGUCAUAUAGGGUCACUGUGAGUUGGAAUCGACUUCACAGCACCUAAAAACAACAUAACAAAAAAGGUAUAGCACCAAAAAAAGUUUUUGGAAAAUCUGUGAAAGGGCAAGAAUCAGGUGGUAAAAUUCCUAGAGGAUGACUGAGUGAUGUAUUAGAUAGGCCGUCUGAGUUGUACUGCAUUAACAAACAGUCCUGAUUUAUUUCUCAGUCACCCAUGCUACAUGUUCAUGGUGAGUUGGCUAUGAGAUCUGCGUCAAGCUACUCUCACUUGACCCAGACUGAAAAACUGGCCAUUCUCUGGAACGUUGUAGGCCCUGGUGGCAGAAGAAAAAAUAAUAGACAUUAUUGGCUAUUAAAGCUUCUGCCAGGAAGUGACAUGUUUCACUUCCCUUCACAUUUCAUUGGCCAAAGCAAGUCACAUGGCCAUAUCUGAGUUCCAAAGGACAGAGAAAGGAAGAAAAUUGGAAUCUUUGUGAACAACCCUAAUGACCACUACAGGUGGACUUUCAGCUUUUAAUCAGAUAUCCCCAUCUGUAGAGCUCCUUCCAUAAACGGGGAUCCCUAUAUGUAGAUCUCUUCUUUGCCUGAUAGUUUUAAACCUGGCUGUGGAAAUUCUGGAGUUAGACUGGGAGUGGAGGUGCCUGAGGACUUCACCAUUCAUAAGCACUUUUUCACUUAUUUCACAUUUUUAGUACCAUCACUUACCCUUGCCCUUCUCUGUGUUGGGUGUGGCUGAUUCCAGGGUGGUUGAUUCCAGGGGUAGCUGAGUCCAGAGGUGGCUGGGUUCAGGCAUGGCUUAGUCCAAGAUUCAUCUGCUUCAAUCUCUACAGAAACUAAAGCUUCUGAUCUCUUUAGGAGAUGCCUGAGAUAAGGGUGCAGACCUGGGAGGCUAGCGGCUCUUUAUACGGAUAUUAAAAAGUCUUUGUUCUAGUUCCACCCUUGAAACAACACCCUCUGCCUCCCAGUCUCUCAAUUCCUGAGACUUUCCCAAAUUCUAGAGAGCUUCUCAUAAGUGUCCCCUUCUGCAAACCAUUAGCUUUAUCCUUUCUCUACUUUGAAAAUUUGCUUUCCAGUUCUAUACUGUAAUCAUAUGGAUUUUGAGUUUCUGUUUCUUGCUCUCCAUGUUGUUGGGUGUAGCUUUUGGAAGAAGAAUGGAGCAGAAAGAUUUGUUUUACCCUGAUAAUUGGAAAGGGGUAUUACAUGUUUGUUUGUUUUGUUUGCAAGUAGUAAACCUUGGAGAAAAGCCUCCAGUCUCCUUAGCCAGUGCUACCAAUCCCAUUUUCAGUUCCGCUUCCCCAGAGGAAGCCAUGAUCCUACAUUCGGUGUGUACCCUUUGGUAUAAACAGCUUGCUAUUUUCUGUGUAGGGUCCCUGAGUGGCCAAGCAGUUUACAAUCGACUGCUAACCUAAAGGCUGGUGUUUCAAACCCACCCAGUGGUGCUGCAGGAGAAAGCCUUGGCAAUCUGCUUCAGUAAAAAUUACAGUCAAGAAGACCCAAGGGAUGGACCACGAUAGAGGGUCCUGGACAGAGCUGGAGAAAAUGUAGAACAAAAUUCUAACUCACAGAAAAAGACCAGACUUUCUGGCCUGACAGAGACUGGAGAAACCCCAAAAGUAUGGCCCACGAACACAUUUUUAGUUCAGUAAUGAAGGCAUUCCUGAGGUUCACCGUUCAGCCAAAGAUUAGACAGGCCCAUAAAACAAAAUGGAACUGAAGGUGCACAUGAGCCCAGGGGCAAGGACGAGAAGGCAGGAAGGGACAGGAAAGCUGGUAAACGGGAACCCAAGGUCAAGAAGGGAGAGUGUUGACAUGUCACCUAGGGUUGUUAACCAAUGUCAUAAAACAACAUGUGUAUGGUUUAAUGAGAAACUAGUUUGUUCUGUAAACCUUCAUCUAAAGUACAAUUAAAAAAAGAAAACCCAGUGGAGCAGUUCUACUCUGACACACAUGGGGUCUCCAUGAGUCAGAAUCUUGUGUUUUGGGUUCGGUUUUUGGUUGUGUUUUGUAUGUGCUUUUCAAAUGUAUGUGGAUACCUCAUACUACAUAUUUAUAUUAGCAAGAUUUCCCCGAUAAGCUCUUUGUGAUGUUUCCUCCUCUUGGUGUGUAUAAAUUUAACAUUAUUCUUCUCUAACCCAUCAAGGAUGAAAAUUUAACCGUUUCAAUCAUGAAGCUCAUUGAAGUUGGUUUCAACUUCUGACUCUUUGGAGCAAUCACGUAGUGUGUGUGUUCUUGAUUCGCCUGGCAAACGUUGUGACUUGCCUGUGUACAGGGAAGCCUGUGAGAGCCAGAACUCAGCAGGGCUGCCUUGUUUCUCCUGGUCACGCAAGUUUUCCACCUUUGACACGGUGCAGUCUUACCACUUUUCUAUUGCUCUCUAUUAAGACUCUUACCUCGAUCCAGGAAACGUAACAGACCCUUUGGGGUAGAAAACGAGGGCAAAGGUAACUCCUAGGGCUUAGGGGAAAAAUCUCUCAAGCUGUUUUUCCAAAGAACCAAGGCAAAAGGCCACAUAAAGUAACUCAUUUCACCACAGAAAUGUGCUUCCAUCCAUGAAUCUUUUUGAAACCAAAUAAACUCUAUAAAAUUUAAAAGAAGAAGAAGCCUACCUCAUAAACACCCAGCGAGUUUUCCUUCUCUGACAGGUUUUUUCAGCCUUUCCCAGGUUCCAGCUUUGGCAGGUUUUACUCUAUCUGGAACAGAAAUUGCUAGAUUACAGUCUAUGUGCAUUUUUACAGAGCAGAACUGUUCCAUAGGGUUUUCUUGGUAGUAAUCUUUACGGGAGCAGAUCACCAGGCCUUUGUUCCAUGGCACCACUGUGUGGCUUUGAAUGUUAACCUUUAGGUUAGCAGCCGAGUGCAAACUGUUUGCACAACCCAAAGACUUGAGUUUUAUUAGGCGUACCCAAAUUGCUCUUCUAAGUAGCUGUACCAACUUAUACCCCAUCCUAGACUUUUAGCUCUUGCCAUUUUGGUGAAUGAAAAAUGGUGUUUCUGGUUGCUUUAAAUUGCUUUUUCCUGAUAACUAGUGAACUUGAAGCUCUUUCUAUGUCUAUAUUGGCAGUCUCUCUUAAUAAUCCCUCUUUUUUCAUUGCCUAUCCUAUCAUAGUCUAUUUUUCUAAGAGGUUAGUUGUUUUUCCUAAUGAUUUGUAGAAAUUCUUUAACAUGUUUUACAUUCUACUUUUUUGUGUUGGUUGUAAUCAUUUCAAAUAUUCAAAGCUGUCGUCUUUCAACUCUUUUGUGCCUGUCAUUUUUUGAUGUUGUUGGAGUCAAAUUUAUCAGUCAUUUUCUUAACUCUUUGUGCCUUGCUUGAGAAAGCCUUUCCUAUCCUGAGAUGAAUCUAGGAUUUAUUGAGCACCUACUAUGAGAUAAUCAUUCUACAUGUUAUCACCUCUAAUCCUCAUAACUUUAUAGAACUGGCAAUACUAUUAUCAUCCCCAUGUCACAGAUGAGAAAACUGAGGCCCAGGGAGGCCAUGUUAUUUUCCCAAAAUCAUAGAGCCAAUAAUCUACAGAUCCAGAAUUUAAACCCAUUUCUGUUUUACUCCCAAACUCCCUAUUCUUUUCACUUCAGAGGUUGUAGGAGAAAGCUCACACAUGCAUACAUUUCAUCCCUCCUCUCACUCCUCGUAUCCUGGUCCAGACUCAGUAAAUCACAGAAGAUGGAAAUGCAGAGGAAUCAUGGCACAUUUGUCCUUUCACUAAUCAAUAGGCAUUCUCUAUUGUGUUCCAAGCCUCAUGUUGGAUGCUGGGGACACAUAGAUACAUCAGGCCUAAACUUGGCCCCCAAGGUGGUAUUCAUCAUGAAGCCACAUCACCAUGGUCCUGUCAUUUUUUUGACUCAGGGAGGAAAGGAAUCCCCAGGCCACGUACACCAGAAAGUCCUAACCUUAUCACACUGGCAGAAAUCACCCUGCGGAAAGAAAAUCAACCAGAGCCUCAGCACAGGAACAAUCCAGGUGACCCUUAUAUCCUCCUCACCAAGGAGACUCUCCUGCCACCAAACCCCAAGUCCCUUGGGAUAAGUAGAGAGACAGCAUGAUAUUGGAAUAGUUGAAAACAGCACUGGCCUUCGGUCUAGAAAUCGAGAACAAACCCAGGCUUUUCACAGACUUUCUACUUCAGCCUUCCCACUGACAAAAUCAGGGAAUUGAGCUAGAUGCCAUGAAAGGCUACAAAUCUGUGCUACUAGGUUUUUUGUGGUCCCAGAUAACCCUGCCACUGAGAAGUCUAUGGAGCACAGUUCUACUCUGACACAUAUGGGGUCAAACUUCCGCAUUCAUCUGUUGUGUUAGUUCCCAAUUGCUGCUGUAACAAAUUUCCACAAAUUUAGUGGCUUCAAGCAACACAAUUUUGUUUUGUUUUCCUCUUACAGGUAUGGAGGCCAAAAGUCCUAAAUGGGCUUCGAUGGAUGGAAAACAAAUAUAGCCGUAGUUCAUUCAUUUUCUUUGCUGCAUUCCAUUGUGGGAAUAUUUGUUGUUGAUAUUAGGUGCCAAUAAGUCACUUCCAACUCAUAGCAAUUCUGUGAACAAAUGAACAAAACACUGGCCGGUACUAUGUCAUCCUCACAAUUGUUGCUACGUUUGAGCCCACUGUUGCAGUGACUAUGUCAAUCCAUCUUGUUGAGGGUCUUCUUCUCUUUCACUGACUCUGCCAAGUAUGAUGUCCUUCUCCAAGGACUGACCGCUCCUGAUAUCAUCUCCAAAGUACAUGAGACGAAGUCUAUCCAUCUCACACAAUUUAUUGUUCUACUCACCUAUCUGACCAUUCAGUUUGUUUCCAGCUUUUUGCUGUUAUAUAUAUCAUGUUUCCAAGAACAUUCAUACAUGCAUACAUAUGUAAAAUUGUUUUCUCAAAAUGGUUGUA
Molecule: long non-coding RNA, 12972 nt
Organism: Loxodonta africana (African savanna elephant)
Lineage: Eukaryota; Metazoa; Chordata; Mammalia; Proboscidea; Elephantidae
Exons: 2
Source: RefSeq, a predicted model, not a curated record